CCUACGGGUGGCAGCAGUGGGGAAUAUUGCGCAAUGGGCGAAAGCCUGACGCAGCGACGCCGCGUGAGGGAUGAAGGUCUUCGGAUCGUAAACCUCUGUCAGCAGGGAAGAACGGUCACUGUGCUAAUCAGCAGUGAAUUGACAGUACCUGCAAAGGAAGCACCGGCUAACUCCGUGCCAGCAGCCGCGGUAAUACGGAGGGUGCGAGCGUUAAUCGGAAUUACUGGGCGUAAAGCGCUCGUAGACGGUAUGUCAAGUCAAGGGUGAAAUCCCCGCGCUCAACGUGGGAACUGCCUUUGAAACUGGCAGACUGGAGUGUGUGAGAGGAUAGUGGAAUUCCAGGUGUAGGAGUGAAAUCCGUAGAUAUCUGGAGGAACAUCAGUGGCGAAGGCGACUAUCUGGCACAUAACUGACGCUGAGGAGCGAAAGCGUGGGUAGCAAACAGGAUUAGAUAUCCGAGUAGUC
RNAcentral lists this ribosomal RNA (465 nucleotides) under uncultured bacterium. Its description in RNAcentral is "partial 16S ribosomal RNA". It matches the Rfam family "Bacterial small subunit ribosomal RNA", at positions 338 to 795 of the family's 1533-position model. The record is from RNAcentral.